Molecule: long non-coding RNA, 210 nt
Organism: Hyaena hyaena (striped hyena)
Lineage: Eukaryota; Metazoa; Chordata; Mammalia; Carnivora; Hyaenidae
Exons: 2
Source: RefSeq, a predicted model, not a curated record
GCGGCUCCUUUCUGCAGAGACUUCCGUCCGCUUUGUACAGUAUCGCCGGGGCCUCUGGGGCAUUGCGGACCGCGCCCAGAACAUUUCUUACCAGCGUCCCUGCUCCCACUCUGCAGAUGCGCCAUUUACCUAGACGAGUCUUCCUGGCGCAGGAAAUGCGGGCCCGGCAGACAUGACUCAGAGUUCUAAUUAAAAAGGAAAUUUGCAUUA